Molecule: RNA transcript, 1846 nt
Organism: Magnolia sinica
Lineage: Eukaryota; Viridiplantae; Streptophyta; Magnoliopsida; Magnoliales; Magnoliaceae
Gene name: thioredoxin-like 4, chloroplastic
Exons: 4
Source: RefSeq, a predicted model, not a curated record
UCUUACACUUCUUGAAACAAUGUUCUCUAUUCGUUGCGAACAUGGAAUUUUAUUUGUAGAUGUGGGGGCCAUGGUUGCUCUAUCCAAGCCAUUGAUCUGACAGCCCCUAUCAUGGACGAACCAUUCCCUCCAAAUCUCCCAAAUUGGAAGAUCCUAGCCAUCAAAACUUUGGUUUUUCCUCCAUUGAAUCUGGUAUGCUCAUGCAUAUAUUUUUAACUAUUUAGAUGCAUGCCAACAAUGGGAAGGUUAGAGUUGACCAUUUGAGAGGAUAUUCUGGGAAUGGUCUGUCCAUGAUGGGGGCCGUCAGAUCAAUGGCUUGGCUAGACAACCAUGGGCCUCACAUCUACAAACUAAGUUCCAAAUAAGGUAGUCUCUUGUUUGAAACAAAAAGAGAACUUGCCCACUUGGCCUUUACACUUCUUUUGUUCAAAAGACACACCAUCCAAAGUUCACCUUCCUAAUUUUCAUUUUCUGCUUGUUUUAUUUUUGGCUGUUUCUAUCUUUUAUGGUUAUAUGUUUUGUUCUAUGCAGCAGAUGAAAUGAACUGCUCAUAUUAAAACAAAACAAAAAAAAAGAAAUCCUAUGAUUGAGUGCUUAUUUUCAGAAUGCAAUAGCGGAAAAUAUUUUAUCUGAAUCUUUAUGCUGCACGUUCUUUAUCCUGGUGCACAUCCGUACAUCCCAUUUAUCGGAAAAUUCAUUUAGCCGCCGAGGCUAUUUUCUUUCUUGCCAUGCAAAGGCAGAGUUCACUAUACCGGAGGGCCUCUUUCAAUGUUACAAAAAUCACAGAUGGACUGCAUGAUUCAAGAGUCGUCUGUGCACUUCCCAGCUUGCUGGAUGCAGCGUGUCAAAACCAUAUUAGAUUUUGGCUGUUAAGGGCGAAAAUCCCUUCAAUAUUAAGGAGUGUGAAGCUGGACAGGGUAAAAACACAUUGCAGCAUUCAAGCUUCAGAUUUCAAAAGUACAUCGUACGAAAAUGAAGGAGAAUUAUCAGAUGCCGAUGAGGAUGACGAACUUUGUCCAGUUGAAUGUGUUAGAGAAUUCAAGACUGACAAGGAAUUCUGUAAAAUUCUGGAGAGGUCUAAAGAAACAGAUUCCUUAGUUGUGGUAGAUUUCUAUCGGACUUCAUGUGGAAGCUGCAAGUAUAUAGAGCAGGGAUUUGCAAAACUAUGCAAACGAUCUGGCGAUCAUGAAGCCCCAGUUAUCUUCUUGAAGCAUAAUGUUAUUGAUGAGUAUGAUGAGCAGUCUGAGGUGGCUGAAAGACUAAGGGUCAAGGAGACACUGUGACAGAUGCUAGAAGCAUGCUUUCCACUUCUCCUCCAUCAGCAUGUCGGACUUCAUCAAGUCCACAACUUAAUAGGGGCCAUGCCCGUCUGAAGCCACUUCUUCACAAGCUGGCAGCAUUCAUUGGCAGGCACACCCUCUCCAAAUCAAUAACAGAGACAGGAGACCUAAGACAAGCCAGGGAUCUAAGGUCAGUACCCCUCUUCCACUUUUACAAGAAUGGAGUCCUGUUGGAAGCAUUUCCAACCAGAGACAAGGAGAGGAUUGUAGCUGCCAUUCUGAAAUAUACUGGGCUUACUCCUGAAGACUUGUAGAUUGCACUCUUUAUUCACCGUAUGUGGAAAUACGUCUCGCAUUUGGAUAAGGAUAGAGACAGCCCCCAUUGACUUCAAUGCUUGGAGUUAAUAUGCCUCGAUAUCUAUUGUUAUGCAUAGAAGUCUAUUUUUUGUAAUUCAUCCAACUUGUAAUAUUUGGAGAAUGAAAAUAUGAUUUGAAAGCUUUGUAUCUGAGCCAAUGGUACCAUUAGACUCUUAAGCAACGGUAAUGAAUACCCAUCUUCUCAUUUA